UGCUUAAAUUGCUUGUUUAGUUUUUAUUUAACUUUGUUACAUGGUAUUUAUCAAGAAAAUUAUAAUUUCUUAAUUUUAUAAUUUGGCAGAGUACAAGUUUUGAAAUCAUGUCCUCAUGAUUCUCUGAAUUUCCUUGCUAGUCCUUUGAGCACCAUGUUGAGAAGAACUGGGGGAUAAUGGACUUCCCUGUCUUAUUCCUGACUUCAGGAUUGGGAUCAGUUAAUCCACACAGACAGGGAAGGCCUGUGGAGAAUAACUCACACACAGGAAACUCGGAGCUCAGCUGUUUCUACUCUACUGUUCUCCUGGAAUUGGGGAAGUUCACUUUUCCAUUUGAUGGCGGUACUUUGUAACAUCAAAGUCAGAGUUGCUUUCUCCUGAUGACAUGAUUAUUAUGGGCCUAGAGGGAAACAACUGAUGAUGCCUCUUCCUUUCAACUGCUUUUUAAAGCCUCAUUGUACACAAUGUUUGUCUUUUG
Long non-coding RNA from Meriones unguiculatus (Mongolian gerbil), 478 nucleotides. RefSeq lists it as uncharacterized. The record is from RefSeq and is a predicted model, not a curated record. Lineage: Eukaryota; Metazoa; Chordata; Mammalia; Rodentia; Muridae. The transcript has 3 exons.